CGUCAAUUUGCAAACACUAACCAUAGAAAAUUUUGGAAACAUGUUAAAUUUCAGCAAAGAUAUCUUCUAUUGUACAAAGAAUAUUGUUUUUUAAAUAGAAACUAAUAUAUUCUAUAGUAAAUGAAAGUUAUAGAAAGAUUCCACAAUUUACCCUAAAAUGGAAUUAUAUAGAAUAUGAACAAGAUAAAUUAUAAAGUAUAUAUUGAUAUUACACAACUUUUAAAAGUUUCAUUGUCAAGAAUCAUUAUAAUUCGUUUAAAAUGAUUUUUUUCGGAUAUGGAUAUUGGUAUUGAUAUUGAAGGGAGGCGCGCUCGUGGGCGUCCAAGCAUUUAGGCCACCAGACCGCUCUAGAGAACGUCGAAAAUGCCACCCUUUCUAUAGAAGUAAAUAUGAAACUCCAAAAUUAAUACACACAAGGAACUAUCAUCAUGAAAAAUCGUUACAUUUCAACUGAGAUGGUUUGAAUCAAAGAUAAAUAAAUGUGUCUCAUAAAGUUAUAUUAAUUAAAAAUUGUUAUCUAAUGUAAUGAAAUUUAGUUAUUUUUACUUUAAAUCACCAUCCAAAGUAUUAGAAAUUAUGAUAGACCCAACUACAGUCAAAUGAUGGAUUAUUUGAUGCGGUUUUACAAUGCCCUUCCGAGUUGCAAACUAUGGUAAACGCGAACACAGUUAAACGUAGAAAAUGUCAAAAUGGGUACAUGUCGACGAAUUUUUAAAUUAAAGGAUUCAAAAAAUUUGCAGAAAGAGAAUUGAUACAAGAACUAGAUGUUUCACUACCCCCUAAAAAAAAAAGCUGACGUCCCAGGUAACAAAUUAGACCAUUGAAGAACCGCUUAGAAGAGGGUAGUUUAACAGCAAAAAUUAUCAUCAAUGAGUUAUCAAUAAAACGACUUCUGAUAACUUCUAGAGAAAUUAUCAUAAGAAAUUAAAUAAAAACCAUCAUUGCCAAUUUGGAAAGAAAAUUAUCCAAGUAAAAUAUUAUUCGGAUAAAUGAAUAUAAACACAGGUGGACAAUAAAUCACUACCGACAACUUAGUUAUGAAGAAUAUCAUUCAUCAAUUAUGAAAAAAAAAAGACAAUUUUAUUAAAUAAACAAUCAUUGAAACUUUGUAAGUAUUCGUCG
Cylas formicarius (sweet potato weevil) is the source of this 1122-nucleotide long non-coding RNA. RefSeq lists it as uncharacterized. NCBI's taxonomy places the organism in Eukaryota, Metazoa, Arthropoda, Insecta, Coleoptera, Brentidae. The record is from RefSeq and is a predicted model, not a curated record. The transcript is spliced from 6 exons.